AACAAACCGGUGAUGGUGGAGUAAAGUCAGCAGCGCAUUUAAAGCGAGUUGGGGAUGGUGAGAGCCAAACAGGAAGCGGACUGGCAUAAUGGGCACCUGAGGGUGUGAGGAAAGGGCAGGGCCUGAGUAUUUCACAACGUUUCAUCCACGUUAAGGGAUGGCAGAUGUGAUGGCAUUUGCAGAUCAAGUGCACAGGUUAGAUUAGCCUGUGAAUAAAGGUGGUACCGUGGGUUAUUUUGACUCAUCCUUUUA
RNAcentral lists this non-coding RNA (252 nucleotides) under Acetobacterium wieringae. Lineage: Bacteria; Bacillati; Bacillota; Clostridia; Eubacteriales; Eubacteriaceae. The record is from RNAcentral.